Molecule: long non-coding RNA, 330 nt
Organism: Eptesicus fuscus (big brown bat)
Lineage: Eukaryota; Metazoa; Chordata; Mammalia; Chiroptera; Vespertilionidae
Exons: 3
Source: RefSeq, a predicted model, not a curated record
CGUAACUUAAAAGGAACCCGCCCCGGCCGGCUUGGCGCAGCGGGUAGAGCCUCGGCCUGCGGGCUGCAGGGUCCCGGGUUCGAACGUACCGCAGGCGCAGGCUGAAUCCCCGGUCAGCAGUUUUCCAGGAAUCAGUGACUUUGAAGGAUGUGGCCGUAGACUUCACCCAGGAGGAGUGGGGCCAGCUGGACUCGCCUCAGAGGGCCCUGUACCGGGACGUGAUGCUGGAGAACUACCAGAACCUUCUGGCCCUGGACCAGAAUAUGGCAGAGGGACGGGCGGUCCUGCCAGAUCCCCGAUGCCUGCAGGGGACGAGAGCCCGGCCUGAAG